GUGGCUAAGCAGCAGCAUUAGAGCUACGUGAGAUGCAUUGCAGUUAAGGUGCAAUCCCAUGCCAAAACCAUGACGUAUGGACUGCAUUGGCCCAGCAGCUGAUGGGUUUGGGCUAUCUAUCAUAGUGUUAAGGAAGAAGUUGCUGUUAAAUCGCUUCUGCUUGAAAAACUCUUGCAAGUUACAUCACUGGGAAUCAUCAAAGUUGCCAUUUUGGAGAAUACAGAUCAUUGUCAGCCAUAAGUACGACCUCACGGAAAAAGAGAGACAUUGCAGUGAAUCAGCCCCCAGACGUGUCACAGGAGUGUCUGCGUUUGCACGCAAGAGGCUUCUGAAGAGACCUUCAGCACAGCUCUGCCGAGACACUGCCUGUGCUGGGGUGAGGAACCCCCCUGGCAGAAGUGAGUGAGUGCGUGAACGAGGGAAGGAGUGAAAGACUGCCUGUCAGACUGCACUACCUGUGUGUUAAUCUGACCACUUCAGACAACGAGUACCACACAGAACCCAUGUUGUUCCAAGAUGUGAAUUCACAUACAAAGCAAGCUGUAAGUCUCAUCAUAAAAGCUUGUUCAUCUCUGAAAAGCUAGUCUGCUUCAGGUGCUUGUGAUUCCCAAUUGGGAAAGCUGGUGUAAUUCAUCUCUUGGCAUGUUUGUACUGCAUCUAAUGCAACAGAACCAUGAUCGCAGUGGGGAGAGGAAGACUUCUUUCUGAGGAGAUGGGGAAGGUGUUACAAAGGUGCAUUUAUGGUAGCAUGUUGAUGGAGGGGGAAGCAUAAGAGUGUUUACCCAAGGUAACAUAAUGUGAGUUGCCCUGAGACACAAAAGGGUUUAUCAUUACAGAUUCUUGAGCCAUGGAAGAGGGCCACCAACAGCGAAUGGCUUCAGCAAAGUCAAGCCAACUUCUUUCCAAGGCCUCACACAUUAGUUCACGCCGAGUCUGACCAUCUGAGUUCCUUGGAAGUGAAUGCAAAUGCCUACGUGAAGCCCAAGCAAGCUGGACUUUUUGUGAAACAUUACUAAUUAUAUUUAUAUGGUGGUAGCACUCAGGAACUGCUGACCAUAGAGUAAACAUAGUUUCUGCCUGAAGGCCAGAAGGUACAGUUCUGUACAGAAAAUACUUCAUAGAAGUUGUAUUACCAUCAGCGUGGUCUUGCUCUGCAAAUCUACUUAAUCUAUGUAUUUAGAGUCAUGUGCGCUUUAGUGACGUAAUAAAGGCCAGUUAAUUCUUUUCCCUACUCUGAUG
Molecule: long non-coding RNA, 1239 nt
Filed under: Phasianus colchicus (ring-necked pheasant)
Lineage: Eukaryota; Metazoa; Chordata; Aves; Galliformes; Phasianidae
Description: lncRNA (ENSPCLG00000001245.1)
Source: RNAcentral